This is a non-coding RNA of Phasianus colchicus (ring-necked pheasant), 838 nucleotides long. NCBI's taxonomy places the organism in Eukaryota, Metazoa, Chordata, Aves, Galliformes, Phasianidae. The record is from RefSeq and is a predicted model, not a curated record.
UGUAAAAAAGAAAAACAACCCACCCACACCAAAAGAAAACAUUUAUCAGAAGGAAAACAACACAUGGACAGAGGUUUUGGAGGAUACAAAACCCCUUCAAUCAAGUGUUUUCAGUCUUCCAAGGAUGAAGAGGCUGAAUCUGGCUCGGGUAAUUGUAACAUUCAAACGCUGAAGACUUGCCAGAAACCUAGGAGACAUGACAAAAUGAAGCUCCUGAACUACUUCUUGGAAGAGACUUAACAGUGGUGAAUUACUCUGGCAGAAUAUGAAGGAAAACCUGCUAAAUCAUGCUUCGAGAUCAAAAAAGCACAACCCUUGCAAAAGAAAAUAUUCAUGUUGCAAGCAUGAGAUUACCUAGCCUGUUUCCGUGGGAUCACAAACCAAGACGCUGAAACCUACAAAUAAAUGUUAAGUGUAUUCUUGAACACUGAUUUCUGUUAGAGCUUCUUCCCCAACAAAUCCUCAGAGUGGAAAAAAACAAAAACAUCUCUCAGUUAUGAAACUUAUAUUCCUCCCCUAAUGAAAAAGUUCCCCAAAUGCACAGCUUAUUCUGUACUAACAAAGUUUGCAAUUCAAAGACAAGUCUCUGCACAACUUAAUUUGAAUAGAUCCAACAUCAGUGCCUAAUAGCACGGUGAUGAUGCUGCUGAUCCACAAUACCUGCAGUAAAGACUACAGAAGUCACAGAACCACACCAGAAGAUUUGACCACUGAGUGAAAAAGGACAGAGGAAGGGGAGCAGACCCAACAGCACAGAUGAUUUAGAUCUACAGGUCUUGAAGAAGAAAAAAAAAAAGUGGUUUUGAAAGAACUUCAUAGUCUUAACAGCAAAAAAGAU